Molecule: ribosomal RNA, 1245 nt
Filed under: Streptomyces sp.
Lineage: Bacteria; Bacillati; Actinomycetota; Actinomycetes; Kitasatosporales; Streptomycetaceae
Description: bacterial SSU rRNA
Rfam family: Bacterial small subunit ribosomal RNA
Source: RNAcentral
UCUGCCCUUCACUCUGGGACAAGCCCUGGAAAUGGGGUCUAAUACCGGAUAAUACUCCGGUCCGCAUGGGAGGGGGUUGAAAGCUCCGGCGGUGAAGGAUGAGCCCGCGGCCUAUCAGCUUGUUGGUGGGGUAAUGGCCUACCAAGGCGACGACGGGUAGCCGGCCUGAGAGGGCGACCGGCCACACUGGGACUGAGACACGGCCCAGACUCCUACGGGAGGCAGCAGUGGGGAAUAUUGCACAAUGGGCGAAAGCCUGAUGCAGCGACGCCGCGUGAGGGAUGACGGCCUUCGGGUUGUAAACCUCUUUCAGCAGGGAAGAAGCGCAAGUGACGGUACCUGCUUAAGAAGCGCCGGCUAACUACGUGCCAGCAGCCGCGGUAAUACGUAGGGCGCAAGCGUUGUCCGGAAUUAUUGGGCGUAAAGAGCUCGUAGGCGGCUUGUCACGUCGGAUGUGAAAGCCCGGGGCUUAACCCCGGGUCUGCAUUCGAUACGGGCUAGCUAGAGUGUGGUAGGGGAGAUCGGAAUUCCUGGUGUAGCGGUGAAAUGCGCAGAUAUCAGGAGGAACACCGGUGGCGAAGGCGGAUCUUCUGGGCCAUUACUGACGCUGAGGAGCGAAAGCGUGGGGAGCGAACAGGGAUUAGAUACCCUGGUAGUCCACCGCCCGUAAACGUUGGGAACUAGGUGUUGGCGACAUUCCACGUCGUCGGUGCCGCAGCUAACGCAUUUAAGUUCCCCGCCUGGGGAGUACGGCCGCAAGGCUAAAAACUCAAAGGAAUUGACGGGGGCCCGCACAAGCAGCGGAGCAUGUGGCUUAAUUCGACGCAACGCGAAGAACCUUACCAAGGCUUGACAUAUACCGGAAAGCAUCAGAGAUGGUGCCCCCCUUGUGGUCGGUAUACAGGUGGUGCAUGGCUGUCGUCAGCUCGUGUCGUGAGAUGUUGGGUUAAGUCCCGCAACGAGCGCAACCCUUGUUCUGUGUUGCCAGCAUGCCUUUCGGGGUGAUGGGGACUCACAGGAGACUGCCGGGGUCAACUCGGAGGAAGGUGGGGACGACGUCAAGUCAUCAUGCCCCUUAUGUCUUGGGCUGCACACGUGCUACAAUGGCCGGUACAAUGAGCUGGGAUGCCGUGAGGCGGAGCGAAUCUCAAAAAGCCGGUCUCAGUUCGGAUUGGGGUCUGCAACUCGACCCCAUGAAGUCGGAGUUGCUAGUAAUCGCAGAUCAGCAUUGCUGCGGUGAAUACG